UACGAAGGGGGCUAGCGUUGUUCGGAAUUACUGGGCGUAAAGGGCGUGUAGGCGGUCCGCUAAGUCAGGUGUGAAAGGCCUGGGCUCAACCCAGGAAAUGCGCCUGAGACUGACGGACUUGAGUCCGGGAGAGGAUGGUGGAACUCCCAGUGUAGAGGUGAAAUUCGUAGAUAUUGGGAAGAACACCCGUGGCGAAGGCGGCCAUCUGGACGGAUACUGACGCUGAGACGCGAAAGCGUGGGUAGCAAACAGG
RNAcentral lists this ribosomal RNA (253 nucleotides) under uncultured bacterium. Its description in RNAcentral is "partial 16S ribosomal RNA". It matches the Rfam family "Bacterial small subunit ribosomal RNA", at positions 524 to 776 of the family's 1533-position model. The record is from RNAcentral.